RNAcentral lists this ribosomal RNA (1170 nucleotides) under Triticum aestivum (bread wheat). RNAcentral's name for it is "partial small subunit ribosomal RNA". Lineage: Eukaryota; Viridiplantae; Streptophyta; Magnoliopsida; Poales; Poaceae. The record is from RNAcentral.
AUGGGGUUUUGCGUAAGUGGCACCAGAGCAACUAUCAUGGGAAUAGGCACAGCCGUGCCAACAAAUGUACUGCAACAAAGUUCCUUCUCUGACUACUAUUUUGAGACAACAAAUAGCAAUCACAUGGUGGACCUAAAGGCCAAGUUCGCAAAUAUAUGUGAGAAGACAAUGAUUGAGAAGAGACAUUUGUACAUGUCUGAUGAGUUCAUUAGGAGCAGCCCUUCUAUUACGGCCUACAAUUCCCCAUCGCUCAACCUUCGUCAAGGGCUAGCGGAUGCCGCUAUACCACAACUCGGUGCGGAAGCUGCACGGCAUGCCAUCGCGGACUGGGGCCGGCAGGCAUCGAACAUCACACACCUCGUCUUCUGCACGACGGUGAGUGGGUGCAUGCCCGGUGCCGACUUUGAGCUCAUCAAGCUCCUCGACCUCCCUCUCUCCACUAGACGUUUCAUGCUAUACCAGGCUGGCUGCCAUGGUGCCGGCAUCUCCAUGCGUCUAGCCAAGGACCUUGCUGAAAAUAACCAUGGCUCCCGUGUACUUGUGGUUUGCUCUGAGGUGAUCACCAUGGCUUUUCGUGGCCCCUCGAAAAGCCACAUGGGGAACCUUGUUGGGCAGGCCAUCUUUGAUGACGCCGCAGGUGCCAUUAUCAUUGGAGCUGAACCUACUGGGAACGAGAGACCCUUAUUCGAGAUGGUGUCUGCAUCACAAGACAUCAUACCGGGCACGGAAGAGAUGGUGGUGUCCAAGCUAUACGAGGAUGGGAUUGUGUACACCCUUCACCGAGAUGUCGCGCUCCAUAUCUCGAGAAACAUAGAGGGGCGUGUGAAGAAGGCACUCGAGCGUGCCUCGCUCCUCACCAAGGACUGGAACGAGGAGCUGUUUUGGGUGGUGCACCCUGGUGGCAGGGAGAUACUGGACAAGGUGGAGAGCAGCCUUGUUCUGAGAAAAGAGAAGAUGGAUGUCUCAAGGAAGGUGAUGGCGCAGCAUGGCAACACACUGAGCUCGUGUGUCAUUGUUGUUAUGGAUGAGAUGCGAAAGAGGUCUCGGAAGCGUGGGCUACCCACGGCAGGGGAAGGUCUUGAGUGGGGACUGCUCUUUAGCUUUGGCCCAGGCCUCACCGUCGAGACCAUACUUCUCCGAGCACUGCACAAUCAAGAACCCAACGCGUGA